Molecule: ribosomal RNA, 887 nt
Filed under: uncultured archaeon
Lineage: Archaea
Description: bacterial SSU rRNA
Rfam family: Archaeal small subunit ribosomal RNA
Source: RNAcentral
UUCCGGUUGAUCCUGCCAGACCCGACUGCUAUCCGGGUGAGACUAAGCCAUGCAAGUUGAAUGGGGGAGCUAUCUCCCAUAGCAUACUGCUCAGUAACAAGUGAUCAACAUACCCUUAAGUGGGGCAUACCCUCGGGAAACUGAGGCUAAUUCCCCAUAGUUGAAAAAGCCUGGAAAGGUUUUUCAUCCAAAGAAUAUGGCUAUUGCGUUAUAUUUGCUUAAGGAUUGGGUUGCUCCCGAUUAUGGUUGUUGGUGAGGUAAUGGCUCACCAAGCCUAUGAUCGGUAAGGGCCGUGAGAGCGGUAGCCCUGAGAUGGGAACUGAGACAAUGUCCCAGGCCCUUACGAGGCGCAGCAGGCGCGAAACCUUUACAAUGCACGAAAGUGUGAUAAGGUUACCCGGAGUGCUUGACAUAUAAUCAAGCUGUUAUAGUGUGUAGAUAACACUAUGAGAAAGGAGAGGGCAAGGCUGGUGCCAGCCGCCGCGGUAAAACCAGCUCUUCAAGUUGUCGGGACAAUUAUUGAGCUUAAAGUGUCCGUAGCCGGUUUAGUAAGUCCCUGGUUAAAUCUGGUAGCUUAACUAUCAGCUUGCUAGGGAAACUACUUCGCUAGAGGGCGGGAAAGGUCUGAGGUACUCCAGGGGUAGCGGUGAAAUGCGAUAAUCCUUGGGGGACCACCAGUGGCGAAAGCGUCAGACUGGAACGCGCCUGACGGUGAGGGACGAAAGCCAGGGGAGCGAACGGGAUUAGAUACCCCGGUAGUCCUGGCUGUAAACGAUGCAUGCUAGGUGUUGGUAGGGCUAUGAGCUGUAUCAGUGCCGUAGGGAAACCGUUAAGCGUGCCGCUUGGGAAUUACGCUCGCAAGAGUGAAACUUAAAGGAAUUGGCGGG